UUAAGCGACUAAGCGUACACGGUGGAUGCCCUGGCAGUCAGAGGCGAUGAAGGACGUGCUAAUCUGCGAUAAGCGUCGGUAAGGUGAUAUGAACCGUUAUAACCGGCGAUUUCCGAAUGGGGAAACCCAGUGUGAUUCGUCACACUAUCAUUAACUGAAUCCAUAGGUUAAUGAGGCGAACCGGGGGAACUGAAACAUCUAAGUACCCCGAGGAAAAGAAAUCAACCGAGAUUCCCCCAGUAGCGGCGAGCGAACGGGGAGGAGCCCAGAGCCUGAAUCAGUGUGUGUGUUAGUGGAAGCGUCUGGAAAGGCGCGCGAUACAGGGUGACAGCCCCGUACACAAAAAUGCACAUACUGUGAGCUCGAUGAGUAGGGCGGGACACGUGGUAUCCUGUCUGAAUAUGGGGGGACCAUCCUCCAAGGCUAAAUACUCCUGACUGACCGAUAGUGAACCAGUACCGUGAGGGAAAGGCGAAAAGAACCCCGGCGAGGGGAGUGAAAAAGAACCUGAAACCGUGUACGUACAAGCAGUGGGAGCCUCUUUAUGGGGUGACUGCGUACCUUUUGUAUAAUGGGUCAGCGACUUAUAUUCUGUAGCAAGGUUAACCGAAUAGGGGAGCCGAAGGGAAACCGAGUCUUAACUGGGCGUUAAGUUGCAGGGUAUAGACCCGAAACCCGGUGAUCUAGCCAUGGGCAGGUUGAAGGUUGGGUAACACUAACUGGAGGACCGAACCGACUAAUGUUGAAAAAUUAGCGGAUGACUUGUGGCUGGGGGUGAAAGGCCAAUCAAACCGGGAGAUAGCUGGUUCUCCCCGAAAGCUAUUUAGGUAGCGCCUCGUGAAUUCAUCUCCGGGGGUAGAGCACUGUUUCGGCAAGGGGGUCAUCCCGACUUACCAACCCGAUGCAAACUGCGAAUACCGGAGAAUGUUAUCACGGGAGACACACGGCGGGUGCUAACGUCCGUCGUGAAGAGGGAAACAACCCAGACCGCCAGCUAAGGUCCCAAAGUCAUGGUUAAGUGGGAAACGAUGUGGGAAGGCCCAGACAGCCAGGAUGUUGGCUUAGAAGCAGCCAUCAUUUAAAGAAAGCGUAAUAGCUCACUGGUCGAGUCGGCCUGCGCGGAAGAUGUAACGGGGCUAAACCAUGCACCGAAGCUGCGGCAGCGACACUAUGUGUUGUUGGGUAGGGGAGCGUUCUGUAAGCCUGUGAAGGUGUACUGUGAGGUUGCUGGAGGUAUCAGAAGUGCGAAUGCUGACAUAAGUAACGAUAAAGCGGGUGAAAAGCCCGCUCGCCGGAAGACCAAGGGUUCCUGUCCAACGUUAAUCGGGGCAGGGUGAGUCGACCCCUAAGGCGAGGCCGAAAGGCGUAGUCGAUGGGAAACAGGUUAAUAUUCCUGUACUUGGUGUUACUGCGAAGGGGGGACGGAGAAGGCUAUGUUGGCCGGGCGACGGUUGUCCCGGUUUAAGCGUGUAGGCUGAUUUUCCAGGCAAAUCCGGAAAAUCAAGGCUGAGGCGUGAUGACGAGGCACUACGGUGCUGAAGCAACAAAUGCCCUGCUUCCAGGAAAAGCCUCUAAGCAUCAGGUAACAUCAAAUCGUACCCCAAACCGACACAGGUGGUCAGGUAGAGAAUACCAAGGCGCUUGAGAGAACUCGGGUGAAGGAACUAGGCAAAAUGGUGCCGUAACUUCGGGAGAAGGCACGCUGAUAUGUAGGUGAAGCGACUUGCUCGUGGAGCUGAAAUCAGUCGAAGAUACCAGCUGGCUGCAACUGUUUAUUAAAAACACAGCACUGUGCAAACACGAAAGUGGACGUAUACGGUGUGACGCCUGCCCGGUGCCGGAAGGUUAAUUGAUGGGGUUAGCGGUAACGCGAAGCUCUUGAUCGAAGCCCCGGUAAACGGCGGCCGUAACUAUAACGGUCCUAAGGUAGCGAAAUUCCUUGUCGGGUAAGUUCCGACCUGCACGAAUGGCGUAAUGAUGGCCAGGCUGUCUCCACCCGAGACUCAGUGAAAUUGAACUCGCUGUGAAGAUGCAGUGUACCCGCGGCAAGACGGAAAGACCCCGUGAACCUUUACUAUAGCUUGACACUGAACAUUGAGCCUUGAUGUGUAGGAUAGGUGGGAGGCUUUGAAGUGUGGACGCCAGUCUGCAUGGAGCCGACCUUGAAAUACCACCCUUUAAUGUUUGAUGUUCUAACGUUGACCCGUGAUCCGGGUUGCGGACAGUGUCUGGUGGGUAGUUUGACUGGGGCGGUCUCCUCCUAAAGAGUAACGGAGGAGCACGAAGGUUGGCUAAUCCUGGUCGGACAUCAGGAGGUUAGUGCAAUGGCAUAAGCCAGCUUGACUGCGAGCGUGACGGCGCGAGCAGGUGCGAAAGCAGGUCAUAGUGAUCCGGUGGUUCUGAAUGGAAGGGCCAUCGCUCAACGGAUAAAAGGUACUCCGGGGAUAACAGGCUGAUACCGCCCAAGAGUUCAUAUCGACGGCGGUGUUUGGCACCUCGAUGUCGGCUCAUCACAUCCUGGGGCUGAAGUAGGUCCCAAGGGUAUGGCUGUUCGCCAUUUAAAGUGGUACGCGAGCUGGGUUUAGAACGUCGUGAGACAGUUCGGUCCCUAUCUGCCGUGGGCGCUGGAGAACUGAGGGGGGCUGCUCCUAGUACGAGAGGACCGGAGUGGACGCAUCACUGGUGUUCGGGUUGUCAUGCCAAUGGCACUGCCCGGUAGCUAAAUGCGGAAGAGAUAAGUGCUGAAAGCAUCUAAGCACGAAACUUGCCCCGAGAUGAGUUCUCCCUGACUCCUUGAGAGUCCUGAAGGAACGUUGAAGACGACGACGUUGAUAGGCCGGGUGUGUAAGCGCAGCGAUGCGUUGAGCUAACCGGUACUAAUGAACCGUGAGGCUUAACCUU
RNAcentral lists this ribosomal RNA (2901 nucleotides) under Escherichia coli. Its description in RNAcentral is "bacterial LSU rRNA". It matches the Rfam family "Bacterial large subunit ribosomal RNA". Lineage: Bacteria; Pseudomonadati; Pseudomonadota; Gammaproteobacteria; Enterobacterales; Enterobacteriaceae. The record is from RNAcentral.